This 424-nucleotide ribosomal RNA is filed under the name uncultured bacterium. RNAcentral's name for it is "bacterial SSU rRNA". It matches the Rfam family "Bacterial small subunit ribosomal RNA", at positions 355 to 776 of the family's 1533-position model. The record is from RNAcentral.
UGAGGAAUAUUGGUCAAUGGAGGGAACUCUGAACCAGCCAUGCCGCGUGCAGGAUGACUGCCCUAUGGGUUGUAAACUGCUUUUAUACAGGAAGAAACACUGGUACGUGUACCAGCUUGACGGUACUGUAAGAAUAAGGAUCGGCUAACUCCGUGCCAGCAGCCGCGGUAAUACGGAGGAUCCAAGCGUUAUCCGGAAUCAUUGGGUUUAAAGGGUCCGUAGGUGGAUAAUUAAGUCAGAGGUGAAAUCCUGCAGCUCAACUGUAGAAUUGCCUUUGAUACUGGUUGUCUUGAGUUAUUGUGAAGUGGUUAGAAUAUGUAGUGUAGCGGUGAAAUGCAUAGAUAUUACAUAGAAUACCAAUUGCGAAGGCAGAUCACUAACAAUCGACUGACACUGAUGGACGAAAGCGUGGGUAGCGAACGGG